Molecule: ribosomal RNA, 414 nt
Filed under: uncultured microorganism
Description: bacterial SSU rRNA
Rfam family: Archaeal small subunit ribosomal RNA
Source: RNAcentral
GUGCACCAGGCGCGAAACCUCCGCAAUACGGGAAACCGUGACGGGGUCAUCCUGAGUGCUACCCGCAGAGGGUAGCUUUUCCCUGGUCUAAAAAGCCAGGGGAAUAAGCGGGGGGCAAGACUGGUGUCAGCCGCCGCGGUAAUACCAGCUCUCCGAGUGGUGGGGACGCUUAUUGGGCCUAAAGCAUCCGUAGCCGGCUGGGCAAGUCCUCCGUUAAAUCCAACGAUUCAAUCGUUGGGCUGCGGGGGAUACUGUCCAGCUUGGGGGCGGGAGAGGCCGACGGUAUUCCCCGGGGUAGGGGUGAAAUCCUAUAAUCCCGGGAGGACCACCAGUGGCGAAGGCUGUCGGCUAGAACGCGCCCGACGGUGAGGGAUGAAAGCUGGGGGAGCGAACCGGAUUAGAUACCCCUGUAGU